This is a long non-coding RNA of Ipomoea nil (Japanese morning glory), 122 nucleotides long. RefSeq lists it as uncharacterized. The record is from RefSeq and is a predicted model, not a curated record. The transcript is spliced from 2 exons. NCBI's taxonomy places the organism in Eukaryota, Viridiplantae, Streptophyta, Magnoliopsida, Solanales, Convolvulaceae.
CCCAGGCCGGGAAAGGGUGUCACCAAUACCUGUGAGGUCUGUGAGCGCAGCCUCCUUGAUUCCUUCCGCUUCUGCUCUCUCGGCUGCAAGAUUGUUGGGACAUCCAAGAACUUCGUGAAGAA